UCCCUGGUGGCACAGAGGUUAAAGCGUCUGCCUGGAAUGCGGGAGACCAGGUUUCGAUCCCUGGUUAGGGAA
This is a non-coding RNA of Bos taurus (domestic cattle), 72 nucleotides long. NCBI's taxonomy places the organism in Eukaryota, Metazoa, Chordata, Mammalia, Artiodactyla, Bovidae. The record is from Rfam.